UGGGGAAUUUUGCACAAUGGGGGAAACCCUGAUGCAGCGACGCCGCGUGAUUUAGAAGGCCUUCGGGUUGUAAAAAUCUUUUCUAUGGGAAGAAAAUGACAGUACCAUAGGAAUAAGGACCGGCUAAUUACGUGCCAGCAGCCGCGGUACUACGUAAGGUCCGAGCGUUGUCCGGAAUCAUUGGGCGUAAAGGGUACGUAGGCGGGUAAGCAAGUUAGAAGUGAAAUCCUAUAGCUCAACUAUAGUAAGCUUUUAAAACUGCUCAUCUUGAGGUAUGGAAGGGAAAGUGGAAUUCCUGGUGUAGCGGUGAAAUGCGCAGAUAUUAGGAGGAAUACCGGUGGCGAAGGCGACUUUCUGGCCAUAACCUGACGCUGAGGUACGAAAGCGUGGGUAGCAAACAGG
This 402-nucleotide ribosomal RNA is filed under the name Fusobacteriota bacterium. RNAcentral's name for it is "Fusobacteria bacterium partial 16S ribosomal RNA". It matches the Rfam family "Bacterial small subunit ribosomal RNA", at positions 355 to 776 of the family's 1533-position model. Lineage: Bacteria; Fusobacteriati; Fusobacteriota. The record is from RNAcentral.